This 952-nucleotide long non-coding RNA is filed under the name Anas platyrhynchos platyrhynchos (common mallard). RNAcentral's name for it is "lncRNA (ENSAPLG00000023627.1)". The record is from RNAcentral. Lineage: Eukaryota; Metazoa; Chordata; Aves; Anseriformes; Anatidae.
UCAACCCAUAUGAUUUAGCAAUUAAUAACUGCAUGCCAUGGACUAAGAUUUAGAAAUUCCUAUAUAUUUAACUAAAAUCCUUCCCUCUUAACCAUGUUUGCCAGUGGCUUUUAAUGGUAACAACCUCAGGCUUUUCAUAUCUUUAAGCCAAAUUUUCACAUUUCGGCUAUGAAUUUUGGUGGUUCUUCCUCUUGAUUUAGUUUAUUUGCAGGUGCACGGCUGAUGGAUGCAAUCAGAAAUUCGGGACAAAAUCAAACCUGAAGAAACACAUCCAACGCAAGCAUGAAAAUCAGCAGAAGCAAUAUGUGUGCGACUUUGAAGGCUGUAACAAGUCUUUCAAGAAACAUCAGCAACUUAAAGUUCACCAGUGUCACCACACCAAUGAACCUCCCUUCAAUAUUUAUUACAGGUUCACAGGAAAAACAAACUAGUCUUGAAUUCACACAGUCUGAAACACAAACAUAAAAUAUUGCACGGUAAUGAAAAAUGCAGUUACCUCUGUUUUCCAGUGAAAAGUAGGAACUUGGCUAACGCUGAACUGAGCAGUGGCUUAAAAAAAGGUGAGAGCCUUGAACACCAGUCUGAGACACUGCAUUGCAACUUCUGUUAUUUACAUCACACGUUGGUACAGAUCUGCUAAAAGAAUCUUGUGUUUCUUACAAGUGGGACACACUUCACAGGAGUGUUCCACUUAAGUGCAGUAGUAUGGCUGGGUCACCAGUACAAUAUGCUGUUGGUGCUCUGCUACUGCCCUGACUGCUAGAUUUGUACAAAUCUCUUAAACCUUCCACUUUGUAUCUCUAUGUUUGGAGAGCUGGAGUAUGGAGGAUAUGAAGCUUGAUUCUUUAGCUAAAGCUUAAUUUGCUGUAUACAUGGGAAACAUUAUGUAAUUUAUUUUCACAAGGGGGGAAAUGGAACAAAUCUCUGGGCAAGGGGAAACUUGGGUUAUUUU